GACUCGUCACACUAUCAUUAACUGAAUCCAUAGGUUAAUGAGGCGAACCGGGGGAACUGAAACAUCUAAGUACCCCGAGGAAAAGAAAUCAACCGAGAUUCCCCCAGUAGCGGCGAGCGAACGGGGAGGAGCCCAGAGCCUGAAUCAGCAGGUGUGUUAGUGGAAGUGUCUGGAAAGGCACGCGAUACAGGGUGAAAGCCCCGUACACGAAAAUGCACCUGGUGUGAGCUCGAUGAGUAGGGCGGGACACGUGGUAUCCUGUCUGAAUAUGGGGGGACCAUCCUCCAAGGCUAAAUACUCCUGACUGACCGAUAGUGAACCAGUACCGUGAGGGAAAGGCGAAAAGAACCCCGGCGAGGGGAGUGAAAAAGAACCUGAAACCGU
This 384-nucleotide ribosomal RNA is filed under the name Salmonella bongori serovar 44:r:-. Its description in RNAcentral is "partial 23S ribosomal RNA". It matches the Rfam family "Bacterial large subunit ribosomal RNA", at positions 137 to 559 of the family's 2925-position model. Lineage: Bacteria; Pseudomonadati; Pseudomonadota; Gammaproteobacteria; Enterobacterales; Enterobacteriaceae. The record is from RNAcentral.